CGGGUGAGUAACGCGUGAGGAACCUGCCUCAAAGAGGGGGACAACAGUUGGAAACGACUGCUAAUACCGCAUAAGCCCACGGCUCGGCAUCGAGCAGAGGGAAAAGGAGCAAUCCGCUUUGAGAUGGCCUCGCGUCCGAUUAGCUAGUUGGCGGGGUAACGGCCCACCAAGGCGACGAUCAGUAGCCGGACUGAGAGGUUGAACGGCCACAUUGGGACUGAGAUACGGCCCAG
RNAcentral lists this ribosomal RNA (233 nucleotides) under uncultured bacterium. RNAcentral's name for it is "partial 16S ribosomal RNA". It matches the Rfam family "Bacterial small subunit ribosomal RNA", at positions 103 to 334 of the family's 1533-position model. The record is from RNAcentral.